GGAAGUGAAGGUGAUCUGGCUUUGUUAUCUGUCACCUUGCUGAUCUCCAGGAUUGAUUCAGCUCAUCUGGCUGGUGAGGCAGGUGUAACCAUAUUCCCUCAGUGCCCCAUGUGUGUCCCUCCUGAAGCUCUGCACUCUGACAAGAGAACAACCACCCCAGACAGAGAAGCUUGGAGUUCCUGCUAGGACCUUUAAUAAAGCUCUCAAGAAAAAUAGUGAGAUAUUUAAGCUUCUGGAUGACUGACAAACGAGAGUCUGUUUAU
RNAcentral lists this small nuclear RNA (263 nucleotides) under Octodon degus (degu). Its description in RNAcentral is "7SK RNA (ENSODEG00000024552.1)". It matches the Rfam family "7SK RNA". Rfam says of the family: 7SK was discovered as an abundant small nuclear RNA in the mid-70s but a possible function has only recently been suggested. Two independent studies have found that 7SK RNA binds the CDK9/cyclin T complex (known as elongation factor P-TEFb). Lineage: Eukaryota; Metazoa; Chordata; Mammalia; Rodentia; Octodontidae. The record is from Rfam by way of RNAcentral.